AUACCCCAUAUGCUUUCGAGUGAAAUGGAUUUUUUCCGCCUGAAGAGAAGCUUGCGGCUGAUUAGCUUGUUGGUAGGGUAAUGGCCUACCAAGGCGACGAUCAGUAUCUGGUUUGAGAGGACGAUCAGACACACUGGAACUGAGACACGGUCCAGACUCCUACGGGAGGCAGCAGUAGGGAAUUUUCCGCAAUGGGCGAAAGCCUGACGGAGCAAUACCGCGUGAGGGAUGACUGCCCAUGGGUUGUAAACCUCUUUUUUCAGGGAGGAAUAAAUGACGUGUACCUGAAGAAUAAGCAUCGGCUAACUCCGUGCCAGCAGCCGCGGUAAGACGGAGGAUGCAAGUGUUAUCCGGAAUCACUGGGCGUAAAGCGUCUGUAGGUGGUCAAAUAAGUCUACUGUUAAAUCUUAAGGCUCAACCUUAAAAUCGCAGUGGAAACUAUUCGACUAGAGUAUAGUAGAGGUAAAGGGAAUUUCCAGUGGAGCGGUGAAAUGCGUAGAGAUUGGAAAGAACACCGAUGGCGAAGGCACUUUACUGGGCUAUUACUGACACUCAGAGACGAAAGCUAGGGUAGCAAAUGGGAUUAGAUACCCCAGUAGUCCUAGCCGUAAACGAUGGAUACUAGGUGUUGAACAGAUCGAACUGUGCAGUACUAAAGCU
RNAcentral lists this ribosomal RNA (660 nucleotides) under uncultured marine organism. RNAcentral describes it as "SSU rRNA". It matches the Rfam family "Bacterial small subunit ribosomal RNA", at positions 166 to 853 of the family's 1533-position model. The record is from RNAcentral.